Helianthus annuus (common sunflower) is the source of this 608-nucleotide long non-coding RNA. RefSeq lists it as uncharacterized. The record is from RefSeq and is a predicted model, not a curated record. The transcript has 3 exons. Lineage: Eukaryota; Viridiplantae; Streptophyta; Magnoliopsida; Asterales; Asteraceae.
UUUAAACUCACUAAAAUAACCGCUCUUGUGGCGGUUCCAAGAGGUUAUGGUUGGUUUUUGUAUCAGGUGGUUACCUCCACCUUUUGCUGCCCACUAUCUCCAUAAAUCAACCACCUAAAUGUCACCUUUAACCGUUUUGAGUAUUGACACCAUAUCUUGUACAAUCUAUGGUGGCAGUUAAGGGAAGUUCUUUGCAGUUUCCUCAGUUGGUGGUUACUACAUCUUUUCCUGCCCAUUAUCUCCACAAAUCAAAACUCCUACAAAUCUGGGUUGAAAACAAAAUUCCUUCUGCAACAAAAUCAAGCACUUCGUUAGUAAUAUAUAGAAAACAUUGACUGACUGUUGAGGCGUCUUAUCAGAAUCUCAUCGCCAUGGCUGGAUCUGCUGCUUAUGAAUGAUGGGGUGAUUCCAUUGCAAUUUCAAAAGGCAUUUCCUACGAUGUUUGAAUGCAUUUCGAUUUCAUAUGUAAUCCUUUCGUAUUUUGGGUUUGCGUUUGCGUUUCAGUUAUGGCGAAUUUGGGGUUUUGGUAACAAACGGAAAAUUUUAUUUCAUGAUUUUCUUGUCAAUGUUUAGAUAAAAGGUUAUUGUCAAUGUAUCUUUGGUUUCUG